This 750-nucleotide ribosomal RNA is filed under the name Haloarcula sp. BAB-2988. RNAcentral describes it as "bacterial SSU rRNA". It matches the Rfam family "Archaeal small subunit ribosomal RNA", at positions 15 to 762 of the family's 1478-position model. Lineage: Archaea; Methanobacteriati; Methanobacteriota; Halobacteria; Halobacteriales; Haloarculaceae. The record is from RNAcentral.
UGCCGGAGGCCAUUGCUAUCGGAGUCCGAUUUAGCCAUGCUAGUCGCACGAGUUCAGACUCGUGGCAUAUAGCUCAGUAACACGUGGCCAAACUACCCUACAGACCGCAAUAACCUCGGGAAACUGAGGCCAAUAGCGGAUAUAACUCUCAUGCUGGAGUGCAGAGAGUUAGAAACGUUCCGGCGCUGUAGGAUGUGGCUGCGGCCGAUUAGGUAGAUGGUGGGGUAACGGCCCACCAUGCCGAUAAUCGGUACAGGUUGUGAGAGCAAGAGCCUGGAGACGGUAUCUGAGACAAGAUACCGGGCCCUACGGGGCGCAGCAGGCGCGAAACCUUUACACUGCACGACAGUGCGAUAGGGGGACUCCGAGUGUGAGGGCAUAUAGCCCUCGCUUUUCUGUACCGUAAAGGUGGUACAAGAAUAAGGACUGGGCAAGAAAAGGUUUCAACCGCCGCGGUAAUACCGGCAGUCCAAGUGAUGGCCGAUAUUAUUGGGCCUAAAGCGUCCGUAGCUUGCUGUGUAAGUCCAUUGGGAAAUCGACCAGCUCAACUGGUCGACGUCCGGUGGAAACUACACAGCUUGGGGCCGAGAGACUCAACGGGUACGUCCGGGGUAGGAGUGAAAUCCUAUAAUCCUGGACGGACCACCAAUGGGGAAACCACGUUGAGAGACCGGACCCGACAGAUGAGGGACGAAAGCCAGGGUCUCGAACCGGAUUAGAUACCCGGGUAGUCCUGGCCUGUAAACAAUG